AGUUCCAAAGGACAUGAAGACAAAGUCACACACCUUUAUUUAACCUGCUCCAGGCUGGCCACCACAGUCCUGUCUUUUCUGCCAGAAGCAAGUCAAGUGUUGCUACAAGAACAAGUGUGAAAAACAUUUGCCUGAUUACGAUUUCUAGCACCAUGAAAGUUAUCCUUCUUAGAAAUUCCUAAGGCUCAAUGCUGUGUGGAAGAUUCUGAGAAAAAAAAUAGUUUCCGAUCUUUGGGAUUCCCGAGAUGGUCCAAUCUGCAAAAAGUUCAUUGCCAUUUCCAUCAAGGACACUGAGAACAAGAGUCUUAUCUGGAUUAGAUCCUGGGAAUUGAGAAGCUUCAGCAGGUGGGAAAUGCACCCUCCACAGGCUCACACCCUUCUGGGUUGUUUCAGUUACCUAUUGCACCUAAAAUUAGAAACUUUAAACCACCACAAGCCAUUAUUGCUCAUGACCCUGUGAGUUGCAUGGGGACUUCCUGGCUGGUUUAACCUGGGCUCAUUUGUGUGGCUACCUGCAGCUGGAGGGCCAGCUGGGUGGAACAUCCAGGAUGGCCUCAUGCAUGUGCCUGGCAGUUGGU
Homo sapiens (human) is the source of this 578-nucleotide long non-coding RNA. NCBI's taxonomy places the organism in Eukaryota, Metazoa, Chordata, Mammalia, Primates, Hominidae. The record is from Ensembl.